Long non-coding RNA from Polyodon spathula (Mississippi paddlefish), 3947 nucleotides. RefSeq lists it as uncharacterized. NCBI's taxonomy places the organism in Eukaryota, Metazoa, Chordata, Actinopteri, Acipenseriformes, Polyodontidae. The record is from RefSeq and is a predicted model, not a curated record. The transcript has 9 exons.
AAUAAACAGUAGUCAUCUUCAGAGCAGAGCAGAACGGAAAGUGCAUGGCACUGGAGGGCACCUACAACAGACCCUUCUCAGCCCACUAUGCAUUUACAUGGGUUUUCAUCAACCACCAGAUUGGGUUCAGGAGACCAAGAAUGCAUUUCAAUGGCUGGGAUUCCAUGUACAAUUUAAAUGAAAAUCCCAACAUCCUGUUUAUUGGACAUUUGGACAAGAAGGGAACUGGCAAGAUGGGGUUCCUCUCUGCAGUGAAGCCCAACCAGGAAUAGAGCCAAAAGAAGCAAUGCAAAAGCAGAUUCACCCCACCUUGUUCUGUUGGACCUCAACCACUGACCUUUAUGUGGGCUCUGAGGAAGGUCUCCUGAUGCUUGUGACCCCUGAGACAGGGAACGUGACUAUGCUUCAUAACCUGUGUGAGAAGCAUCCUCCUGGAGGUAGAGAAAUAGCUUUUUGAUAUAAGUUAACAGUACUUCAUUGUGCUCAGGUGUAAUUCUUUCCAUGAUGAUCCCAGCAGAAUGUCUUCGGGUUUUCCAGCUUCACAUUUCAGGAAUACAGAAUUCCAUGCUCAUUCUACCAGCGUAUUGAUAUGUUGUUUUUUCCUAUGAAUUAGAUAGCCCCAAUGUCCUGCAACAGGGAAGCCUGGACAGUCUGGCCCGCACAAGGAUGGACUUUAUGCAGCAGGGACUAAUCAACAGCCCAAGGAAAUGGGGCUCUCCACUGUCUUCAACAAGUACAACAGACUUAUAAAGGUCCUGGCUCUAGUUACUCUGGAGGAAGCAGCAAACAUUAAGGAAGGGACCCGACUGGAGAUGUUCACACUGCUACACCAGCUAUUUACAGGAGCUCUAAGAGGUCAGACAAACAACCAUGGAGCCUUGAAUUGAUGACAUCCUGCAGAAACACCUGUGUGAAAUAGCACAGCCACUCUCUUCAGCGGUCCUGGGAACAAACAAUAGGGUCUACAGCUACUGUAACAGGUCCAAGUCCACCCAGAAGUUCAUGCUGGCUGAGUGCUCAGGGGGACAUGAAGGGAGUCAUAUCUGUGACCCCAGAAAAGGAAGUUGAAGGUCAUCAGCUUGGUCCAGCGUCCCUUAUUUUGUCUCCUCAUCAGCAGUGGUUGGCCUCGGUCAGCAAGGAUGGGCUGCUCAGCAUUUGAGAUUUCCAAUUUAGUAAGUACUGCCUGAAUAAGACAAGGGGUAGACUUGAUCAACCUCUACCCUGCAGGGAUAAAUAAGAAGUCAAGCCCUAAGUCAAGUAAAGAACACAUUACAACAACAACCAAAUAAGCAUUUUACGCAAUAUAAUAAUUGAACAUCAAUUUCUUUUUUUUUGCAAUACUUUUAUUGUCUAAAAAAAUAAUACCAUAUUGUAAUAUACUGCAUAAUUAUUUCAUGUUUUUGACCUAAAAAAUCAUGUAUCACAAAACCUUCUCCAAGAAUAACCCCACCCUUUCCCCAAGCCUUCCCCACCCCACUAGUGAUACCAAAGAAAUACAAGGGUAACGUUAUUUGACAUGAUUUCAUGGCGUUUCUUUAAUGUAACAAUUUCCUACUUUUUGGACACAGGGGAGUUAUGUCCAGGUGCAGUGCCACUUGUACAGGACUGAUGGGAUUCAUUCAGUGUCCUUCUCAGUGGACAGUCAUGCCAUGUUGACCACUAGCUUCAGUAAUGGUGCCCUUGUCUGUGUUAAAUGGAGGUAUACAUAUGAUCUUAUAGAUAUUCGCAUACAUGCUGUAUGGAAAUAUCUAUUUAUUCUAUUUGUACAGGGAUUUUACAGACAUAUCCCAUUAUUGUACAGUAGGUAGGCUCCUACUCAAUUCUGAAUCAGAGGCCAUUGGAAAGUGACAUGAAAAAAAGUUUAUAAAAAUAGUUAAUAAAAGCUGUUACUUCUGUCUUUUUUGAUGUGCAAAGAGUCAAUACACCUGGCAAAAUUAAUUUCGCCAUUGAGUAUAGCUAUGUCAUGUUGCAACUGGAGACCUCUGUGAUGUUGGAAAAUGAGUUUCAUGGAAAUGCCUAAGUGGAAACCAGCUAAAGACACACCACCUUCAUCUGCGGUAGAGAAAGAGGCACAGGUUUGGUUACUUGAAUUUAUUUGGGCACCCAUAUACCAGCAUUCUAGUGAGGCCGCUACAUUGAGGAUGCACCUUCUCAUUAGCUUAGCCUUAGCAAACUAGGCUGCAGUGCAGUCGCAUCUCUAGCAGUGCUGGUGUGAAUUCAUUACCUUAUUUUUGCAUUCAGGAGGCCAGUCAGAAGAAGAAUGUGGAGGUGACUGAGGACCACAGUUACACCAGCCUACUUUUAGUCAGCCUUAUGGAUGCCACUUGGCUCGAUGAGAAGCUGGAUGAGGUCAAGCUUAUUGUUUAUUACCCUCUGCUGGAUAUAAUGGAGUUGUCUGAGGUGUCACCCUUGCAUUCACAAAAACAUAUACAAAGCAAUGUCACAUUACAGUCAACUUUGUGGAUGAAAGCAAUUGAAGACUAUGUACUGUCUAUCUCACCCAACUGUAUUAACCCUUUGCACCUACACUAUUCAAAGCUUGUGUACUUGUUAUGAAGUUCGUGAUGCUCAUGAUCACUCGCUUUUUCAGUGAAAUCUCUGAAAGUGUUCUCUUGCUUUCUUGCAGUCGGGUACAACUUGUUUAAUUUGUAAUUGGUAUGUGGUACGUCCAUUUUCUAAAAACAAAAUACAUAGAAUUAAAAGGGGGUUUUAUACUGAAAGUGUCAGCUUCAGAGGGAUUUACUGCAGGGGCAUUGCAUAGCAGAGCCAGUGCUUACAUCAGUUCAUAAGAGAAAAAAACUAAGUUGUACAAAACAUUAAAAUGGAAACAAUCCAAGAUUUCUAGCUUGGGUUUUUUGGCUUACCUCAGGAAAUGUGCAUGGGAGAUAAUUGUAAUAAUUACAAUACACAAAACAGAGAUGACUCCAAAUCUAGUGGGAAAUUCCCUUCACAUGCUUGUCUUGUCAAGUGUUUCUGAUGUUUGUUUAUUGUAAUUAUAUUUUACAGGCAAUCAAAGAGGAGAGCCUGGAGCCUGAGGAAAGGCAUUAAAGAGCUUUGGAGGACAGUAAGCAUCAUGGGCUAAAUGCAACAAAGAAAGAGUCUAAUGAUUAGGAAAUAUUAACCACACAAAUAUCUAACUGGUGCAUUGCAGUGUUAUGCAAUAGUUAAAAGGUUCUUUAAUGGUCUUCAUUAACUCACUGUGAAGGACCUGCCAAGUGUAUCGUACUGUUUUUAUGAACCAAAACUUGCAUUUUAUAAACCCCUAUAAAUGAUUUUAACCCUUUAAAAGGUUUAUUAAUGAUGCAAUUCUCAAUGCCGUUUUGUUUUCUGUUAAAAACGACUGUAAUGUAGAAUGAUUAUCUUGGGCCUAUCAUUUUAAUUUUUGUUUUCCAACAGCUCCAGUCUGUGUUUUUGUAACUACUGUCUACAUGCUUCUGGUUUAAACCCAAACUUUGGUACCAGACUGGGUUUUUAGAGUACUUUAGCUCCAUGCAAUCCCUUUGCAGAUCCAGGCUAUGAUGCGUGAGAAUGAAUCAUUGCCUGAGAUUGAGAAACUUCAACAGCAGGAGUUUAACCUGGACGUGGAAGAGCAGAAUAGGUUGCAAGUUGAGGGGGAACAGGAAGUUGCCAGGAUCUGCAAUGAAAUUAAGCUGGGGAACCAAACCAGAGCUGGAGGGCAAAGGUCAAGCGAUUAAGGCAUUCUGCUCAGAAUAUGAAGUGAAGAACUAUCCAAUGAAGGAGUGAACUCAGAAGGAGAUUGAGGAGCUGGUACAAAUUAGCCAUCUGAGGAAGAUCAGAAUAGAAGCGGAAAACAAAAGUGAUAGCCAAGAUUGAGAAACAAAGAAGGCUGGCUGCAACGAGUGCAUUUUAACAAGGACACAAGCCCAAGAGGUUGCCAUCCUCAGAGCAGAGGUUGAGAGGCUGAGAAUGAAGACUUUCCCUUCGUU